AGGCCCACCAAGGCGACGAUCAGUAGCCGACCUGAGAGGGUGACCGGCCACAUUGGGACUGAGACACGGCCCAAACUCUUACGGGAGGCAGCAGUGGGGAAUAUUGCACAAUGGGGGAAACCCUGAUGCAGCGACGCCGCGUGAGCGAAGAAGUAUUUCGGUAUGUAAACUUCUAUCAGCAGGGAAGAAUAAAAUGACGGUACCUGACUAAGAAGAACCGGCUAAAUAC
RNAcentral lists this ribosomal RNA (229 nucleotides) under uncultured bacterium. RNAcentral's name for it is "partial 16S ribosomal RNA". It matches the Rfam family "Bacterial small subunit ribosomal RNA", at positions 261 to 504 of the family's 1533-position model. The record is from RNAcentral.